Molecule: ribosomal RNA, 741 nt
Filed under: Triticum aestivum (bread wheat)
Lineage: Eukaryota; Viridiplantae; Streptophyta; Magnoliopsida; Poales; Poaceae
Description: partial small subunit ribosomal RNA
Source: RNAcentral
AUGGGGAAGCACGAUCACCACCACCACCACCACCACCACCACGACGUGGAGGCGUGCUACCCGCCCGACGGGUACAUGAUCGAGAGCCCGGAGCUGCGCUGGGCCUUCAUCCGCAAGGUGUACGUCAUCGUCUCCAUCCAGAUGCUCGUCACCGUGGCCGUCGCCGCCGCCAUGAACCUCACCGACUGCGUCCGCAACUUCUUCCUCUCCCGCACCCCCGCCGCCCUCGUCGCCUUCAUCCUCAUCCUCAUCUCCCCCCUCCUCGUGAUGCUGCCCAUGGUCUACUUCCGGCAGAAGCACCCGGUGAACCUGGUGUUCCUGGGCAUCUUCACCGUGUGCGUCAGCCUGUCGGUGGGGCUGGGGUGCCUCACCAAGCGCGGGCCCAUCAUCUUCGAGGCGGCGGGGAUGACGCUCGUCGUCGUGGUCUCGCUCACCGCCUACACCUUCUGGGCGGCCAGGCGCGGCCACGACUUCGAGUUCCUGGGGCCCUUCCUCUUCGCCGCCUGCGUCAUCCUCAUGCUCUACGCCAUCGUCAUCAUCCUCUUCCCCAUGGGCAAGACGGCCGUGCUCGUCUACGGCUGCAUCGCCGCGCUCAUCUUCUCCGCCUUCAUCAUCUACGACACCGACAACCUCAUCAAGCGCUACACCUACGACGAGUACGUCGCCGCCUCCAUCACCCUCUACCUCGACAUCAUCAACCUCUUCAGGGCCAUCCUCAUGGCCCUCGAUGCCGCCGACUGA